UACAGAGGUCUCAAGCGUUGUUCGGAUUCAUUGGGCGUAAAGGGCGCGUAGGCGGGCCACCAAGUCCGGGGUGAAAUCCUCCAGCUUAACUGGAGAAUAGCCCUGGAUACUGGUGGUCUCGAGCGAGGUAGGGGCAGCUGGAACUUCCGGUGGAGCGGUGAAAUGCGUUGAUAUCGGAAGGAACGCCGGUGGCGAAAGCGAGCUGCUGGACCUCUUCUGACGCUGAGGCGCGAAAGCCAGGGGAGCAAACGGG
RNAcentral lists this ribosomal RNA (253 nucleotides) under uncultured bacterium. RNAcentral describes it as "partial 16S ribosomal RNA". It matches the Rfam family "Bacterial small subunit ribosomal RNA", at positions 524 to 776 of the family's 1533-position model. The record is from RNAcentral.